This 372-nucleotide ribosomal RNA is filed under the name uncultured organism. RNAcentral's name for it is "bacterial SSU rRNA". It matches the Rfam family "Bacterial small subunit ribosomal RNA", at positions 526 to 896 of the family's 1533-position model. The record is from RNAcentral.
CGUAGGUGGCAAGCGUUGUCCGGGAUUAUUGGGCGUAAAGCGCGCGCAGGCGGUUCCUUAAGUCUGAUGUGAAAGCCCCCGGCUCAACCGGGGAAGGUCAUUGGAAACUGGGGAACUUGAGUGCAGAAGAGAAGAGCGGAAUUCCACGUGUAGCGGUGAAAUGCGUAGAGAUGUGGAGGAACACCAGUGGCGAAGGCGGCUCUUUGGUCUGUAACUGACGCUGAGGCGCGAAAGCGUGGGGAGCAAACAGGAUUAGAUACCCUGGUAGUCCACGCCGUAAACGAUGAGUGCUAAGUGUUAGAGGGUUUCCGCCCUUUAGUGCUGCAGCUAACGCAUUAAGCACUCCGCCUGGGGAGUACGGCCGCAAGGCUG